RNAcentral lists this ribosomal RNA (500 nucleotides) under uncultured bacterium. RNAcentral describes it as "partial 16S ribosomal RNA". It matches the Rfam family "Bacterial small subunit ribosomal RNA", at positions 30 to 523 of the family's 1533-position model. The record is from RNAcentral.
AUUGAACGCUGGCGGAAUGCUUUACACAUGCAAGUCGAACGGCAGCACGGGGGCAACCCUGGUGGCGAGUGGCGAACGGGUGAGUAAUACAUCGGAACGUGCCCAGUCGUGGGGGCUAACGUAGCGAAAGUUACGCUAAUACCGCAUACGAUCUACGAAUGAAAGCGGGGGACCGUAAGGCCUCGCGCGAUUGGAACGGCCGAUGUCAGAUUAGGUAGCUGGUGAGGUAAAGGCUCACCAAGCCGACGAUCCGUAGCUGGUCUGAGAGGACGACCAGCCACACUGGGACUGAGACACGGCCCAGACUCCUACGGGAGGCAGCAGUGGGGAAUUUUGGACAAUGGGCGCAAGCCUGAUCCAGCCAUUCCGCGUGCAGGACGAAGGCCUUCGGGUUGUAAACUGCUUUUGUACGGAACGAAAAGGCUCUGGUUAAUACCUGGGGCUCAUGACGGUACCGUAAGAAUAAGCACCGGCUAACUACGUGCCAGCCGCCGCCGUAA